GAUGGGAGGGGGAGUGAGUGGUAUCUAUCAGUUCUAAACCAAUGAUCCUCCAUUUAGCUAUACGUGGCAUAUAGCUGUUUAACUGGCACAAAGGUAGUGGGGGAGGAGUUAGUAAAGGGAGCUGUUAACACAGGAAUUUUGUUUACACAAGGUUUGCUUGAUUUGAAGGGGGAUGCUUAUCAGGAUGAAGAAUUUACAUAGUAAACAGCAACUGAACACAUUGUAGGGGGCGAAGGGAAUAUUUACUCUAGCAGCCAGUUUUAACAUAGUGAACACAGAAUAAAUAGACAUUAGUAAAUAGCCAUUUUAUUUUAAUUCAUCUGUCCAUAACAGUCCCCCCUUAAAAUGGCAAUUUUACUAAAACUACUAUCUCUCAUUCUAAUACUGUCCCUAUAGAAAAAUAACAAAAGGCUAUCUUGCACAUCUGUCUGAACAGGCCUCGAACACUUCACUGCGCGGGUACCCCAUAGCAGCUUGUCCACUACUUCUCCCGCGGCAGACUUCUGCCCGUAGAGACAGACGCUAUCCCUAAAUGUCCUUAAGAGGAAGUAGCUGUUGAUUUAGUGCGGUGGGACUGUAAGGGUGUAUGUGGUGUAUCACGGUCGAUGUCGUCAAUCUCUUGGUGAAGGAAGGUCGGGGUGGUCUGGUCGAUUGUCUGAUCAACUGUCUUUUGUAGGCAUUUCUUAAGACAGGGUAACACACAACAAACAAGAAGAGCGAGGAUGAUUAUCGUUAUUAAAAUGGCAACACCUAUUUGGGCCAGAGCACCUUGCCAUCCAGUCAUCCAUCCAAACCAUCUUUCCCAUGGAUCUGUGGCCCCAGAAUUUCGUUUCAGCUCAUUGGACAAACUCUUUAACUUUUCUAUUGCCAACGUUACCUUACCAUUAGGGCCUGUAUUGUCUGGAAUAUAGGUACAGCAUGUUAUGGUGUCUGGGAGUAUUUUACAUACUCUCCCUUUUUCUGCCAAAAUCAUUUUAAAGCUUAUUCUAUUCUGGAAGGUCAUCUGAGAGGUAGCUUGUAACCGCCCUAUCCCACCAUAUAUCCCAUAACAAGUAUAGUUCCCAGGAUAUAUAGUAAUGCCUUCGUUUGGGCAUAAUAUUUUUAGUAAUGAUUGGGUAUUAAGUUUCCAUGACUCGCAUGCUGACCGCUUAGGUUUAAAUACAGUGUAGAGACUUAAAACGCAUACUUCAUAUCCGGAGGAAGGUUCAGGGAUACUGUACCUGGGUGAGGCCUCGCUCCUCUGCAGACAUAGCAGUUAGACUUGUUAUGUUUAGUAGCAUUGUAUUUCAUCCAUUCAAGUCACAAGUUAGUGUCAGAGAAACCUGUCUCUACAGCCCUCUUAUCCUCAAAUAUGGGAUGACUACCAUGUCUUUUAAAGUCCUAAUGUGUGGUUUGAGGUGAUUAACAGUCAUGUGCGUGGCACCUACCCAUUCAGCUGAGUCAUACAUGUCCUGUAAGAAAAAGGUCUCCUGUUUAUUGUAUAAACCUCUUCCCUUCCAAUUCAGAUUUUAUUAGCCGUAAUGCUUGGGAGAAUAGAUUCAAACUUAGUUUCUUACCUUAAAAUCAUUUGGUACCCCCCUUGACACCCCUAUGGCAUUAAUAUACAUAUAUAUAUGUGUGGGUAAAACCACCCUUUAUAGGGGUACUCCUUUUUGUCCUGAAGCAUGAAUGAGGUGUGUCAAGAGUACCUUGGGGAUUGUCAUGUGUUAUGUGUAUGGACAUAAUAACCUAGGCUAGGGCACAUUUACUUAUUCUUAGAAAUCUUGUCUCAUGCUACCCUAGUACUGGCAGAUUCAGAUCAUUUAAACAUUCAAUAUUAAUAUCACCACAAACUCAAGAUAAGCAGAUGAUCCUGAAGAAGCUUUGACUGUGCGUAUGGCACCUCAGACAUGAGGGCUGCAGGGUAAGGAGUAUGUUUGUUUCUCUUUAGUUUCACGAGGUCCCCUUUUGGGGUAUUCGGCUUUCCAUCGAUGGCAGGUGGUCAGGCAUUAUUAUGGCCAUCAAAACACCCACUUGUUGAUAUUUAUUUAUUUAUUUAUUUAUUUUCAACAAGUAUCUUUGUUCUCUAAGAAUGGAGUUUCAAAAAGGGUUGUCAAGAUCAACAAAUGCUACUUCACAUAAUGCAGAGGCAGGCUUGAUUCUGGAAUGAUGAAUCCACGGGGUGAUCUCUGUAACUUUCACAGUGCACUACUCAGCAUGUGGUCUUGGUUAUCACUUUGAUGGCUGGAUAGGCCUCUGGCCAUCCUGAAAACAUGUCUGCUAUAAUUAGUGCAUAGUUGAAUCAGCCAUUCUUUGGCAUUCUGGAUGUAGUCGACUUGACUCCUCUGGAAGAGAUAAUGAGGUUUGGCUAGAUGCUUUGGCUCCAUUCUUCCUGAGUUGCCCUUGGCACAAAUGGCACAAGAUUUACAGUAACUGUUGGUCAGAGAGGCAAUUCCUGAUACUUCAGAGUAUUUAUUGAUCAAAAGAGUUCAUGAGGGUUCUGGACAGAUGCUCCGUAGGCCCACUGCUGAGUAUAUGUUCUUGGGCAAGUAGAACUUGAGAUUGUUGAAGUACAGCCUGUCUUUAAGAGUUGCCCCUUUCUGUUUCCAGCUUGUGGUUUGUUUGUUUUUUCUUUCUUUCCAGGGUCAGUAGCUUGAGGUCUGUGGGUAGGAUCUUACAUGGUGAAUAUGGGAGUUUCUUCAGUAGACACUUUUCUGUCCACUUUCCUUAGUGCACUUACAACUUAUUGAACAACUUAGUCAGCCAGAGAGUUGCCACAUGCUUUCUCCGAGAUCAGUCUUCCUUCAGAGAUCUUGCAUGCUGUGAUGGGAGCCUAUAGCUCAACUUCUUGUGCAGACAUUGUUGAGGUGAGAUACCUGGUCCACUGUAGUGACAGCAAAUCCGGAACAGAUCAUAAGAAAAAUGCUAAAAAAAAAUAAUAGUCAGUGUCUUAUCAUUUCCCCCCUUGGGAAGUGGCAAAAGAGUGGCCAGGUAAAUAGAGUAUCAUCCCUGCAGGGUGACAUUAUCCUGCACAGAAUUCGUCCAUCACAAGGAGAGGUGGGAUAUUGCAUGGAAAGUCUCAGGUAACCAGGGCACCAUUCGACACCAGAGCCUUAACCUGUUAGGGAAUAGUAAGAGCUUGGACAGGCUUUGGGGCCUGUAUAAUUCAGGUAAAGGUAUUGGGGGAACUAGCUAGGACCCUUGCCUCUUGGUCAGGUUUCACUGUGUGGAACAAAAUAAAUAAUAAGGUGAUAGGGGCCUGCAAGUGGGGGAAGGACAUCUGCACCUAGCAGAUUAAUUGGACAGGUGAAAGUAACCACAAAGCAAGGCUUAGUUAACAGGCUACUCCAAAGAGAGCCAUCUACACUUAUGCAGGAGACAACAAUGUUAGACAGGAAUGAGGAGUCAGGCAGGCCUUGCUUGGUACAAAUAGAUGUCAUGUGGCCUGCUAUACAAGGCUGCAUAUAGUUGUUGGGCAUGGGCCUUACUAUGUACUAAAACUUAAGUUAAAAGAAAAUUUGGGACAACCUGAAGUGAUACUUCUCCACAGAUGCUAACUCAUCGUUGAUGACAUUGUUAAUACAGGUAGCCUGAUCAGCCAAUUUAUCUUAGGCUUAAACAAGUCACACCAUGUAGUGGAAUUGGUCAUUAGGAUUCGGGAAAUUCUACAGUAAAAGGGCAUAGUAAGGAUGUACGCGAUGUUACUUUAGGAGUAGGCGUAGCUGUGGAUAGGGGUAAAUCAGCCUUAUCCAUUCCCAUAUAUUAUUCCUUUUGUCUUCAGUAUAUCCAAACCAUGUGUAUGUCCAGGCGUUGCAAUAUACAGUAAUCCAUUAUCAGUCAUGAUAUUAAAAUCUCAUUCUCAUGAAUUAAAUCAAAGAUUUUAAAUCAACCUCAGAAGCAACAAAGAAUAAAUCUAUUGUUUUUUCUUCUGUAAAAUGAUUGGAGUUACUAUAUAAUUGCAUACACCCAACAUAACAUUGCAUGUUCCUCACUGCUACAUUAGUGUAUCUCAUUCUGCCAUAUGUGCAAACUUGAUUUAAAUUUUUAUUUUAAUUAACCUAAUACUUUCUUAUAACACAUAUAAAAACAAUGAAAGACAGUACAGACUAACAAUUCAUUUAAAACAAUAAACUGACAUAGAUCUCUAUUCUUGUGCUGUUCUUAAUUCUGGAAUCAGCCUGUGUACAUCUGUUGGCAGACAUAUCCAUGCUCAUUCCCUAAACUGAUCAUAUCUCUUGAAGUUAUCUGAUUCUUAUAACUUUCUGUGUUACGCUGCAUUGCUUGUCUGUCUCCUAAUUUCCAUAUAUUAUUUUAUCAUUGUCCUCAAAUUUUACAAGCGUGGUCAGUCUACAUGCCAUUUGAGUCGGCAGCCAUAUUUUAAACAAUCUAUUCCUUUGUUCGUCAUUUAGGCUGUAUUUGUCCACAUUUGACUCAAACAUUCCAGCAUUAGUAAAUGCAUCCACUGACGUGUCAUAAACUGGAAUACAUUUCACAAUUUUCAUUAAUUGUUCAUGUAUUUUCAAAUUAAGUUUUGCAGCUCUGUCUUGAAAUUUAUAUUUUCUGCAAAUCACUCUGUGAGGAUACAUUUUCAGUAUCUAUUGGUUCUGGGAUUAGAUUCUGUGUCUGUAUUUUUCUUGUAUUAACACACACUUGCUUAACUUCAUUUCUAAGCUGGCAAAUAAGAUCAUUUCUUAGUUCAACUCUAUCCUCUAAUUCACAGACUGUUUCUGACUGUUUACAGCAUGUGCUCCCUGUUACAUUGUUACACUGUUCAUUUAAAUCUGAUUUGUCUUCUGUUAACCCAUUCAAAUCUACUUCUUUUUCUGAUGAUUCUAAAUUGUCUUGACCUGCAUUACGUUUACAAAUCAAUGCACUGUAAGUACAGACUAGUUUCAUAACAUUUCUGAUCUUUUGUUUUUUCUUAUUAACAAACAAUUUCUUGUCAAUUUCACUAUUGGCAAUUUCACAUUGUGUGUAUAAAGAUUGCCACAAUACAGCAUCUGAAUAGCUGCUAUUAUAUGCAAACUGCAAUUUACUUUUCUCUGCAAUAUCAUUUAUGAAUUCCACAAUUCAUUUGUUCCAACAAAAUCUAACUUUCCUUAUUCCAACAUGCCAAUAACCUCUUACUUAACAACAUAUACAAGAUUACACAAAGUUCCUAACUAGGUUAUUCGUCCAGCAAAUAUACCUUGUUUCCCUCACAUUCCUCACUGAGUUUACAAGCAUUUCACCCAUUCACCCCCCCUGUAGCCAAUACUCAUAGCAGUCAGAGCAAGAGAAAGCAACAAAGAAGGAGGGGGGAGGAGGGAGGAAGACUUGCAAGCACAAAGUUUUUUAACCAUGUGAUUGCCUAAGCACAGCUCUCCUUAGGACAAAAGAUAGAAUAGGAGAGUAACGAUACAAAUUGUAUAGAUUACAAUUAACAUAUAUGGUACCUAACAAGACAUACACAGACAAAAGCACAAAAUACAGAUGUAAUUAAAUCACAAAGUUCUUAAAAUAAAUGCCGGCUUAUAAUAAAUCAAAUCACACACAGAAACACUCAAGCACAUAUACAACAACUUCACUCUUUGUUCGUUGUUUUUUAUUAAAACAACAAAAGAAUCGCCACGAUCUAUUUUUAAUAUGAAUCGGACAAAAAACUAAACCUCCAGGGGCUAUUCUGCACGCCUGAACUUAAAGGAAAAACAACAAAGGAAACGCCACGAUCUAUUCUUAAUCGGACAAAAACUAACCACCAGGGGCUAUUCUGCACACCUGAAUUUAAAUGAAAAACAACAAAGGAAACGCCACGAUCUAUUCUUAAUUGGACAAAAACUAACCACCAGGGGCUAUUCUGCACACCUGAAUUUAAAUGAAAAACAACAAAGGAAACGCCACGAUCUAUUCUUAAUCGGACAAAAACUAA
This 5887-nucleotide long non-coding RNA is filed under the name Pelobates cultripes (western spadefoot toad). Lineage: Eukaryota; Metazoa; Chordata; Amphibia; Anura; Pelobatidae. The record is from RNAcentral.